AGGAGGCCUGGCUGAGCUCCGUGUCUAACGGGCCUCCAGCCUACACGCAGCCUGCCCUCCUGCCCUGGAGACUCCAGCUCCUGCUGUGACCCUAAGCCGGCCCUACCCUCUCCAGGCGAGUCGUCUCCCAUCUGUGUGUGUGAGAGCUUCUCUGACUGUCCUGAGUAACAGGCCCUCUGCCCCCGUGAACCACAGCAGUGACACAGGUGGGGAACGUGGGGAGGGGGAGGGCUCUCUGGAAAGAGGAAUGGUCCUCAGCCUCUUGCCAGGGACUUGCUUUUUAACUUUGCUCUUUUGUAGAAGGAUUCUGAAAGAAAACCAAUAAAAUGCACCUAAGCCAUCAAAAAAAAAAAAAAAAAAAAGAGCAGAAUCCGUGCGCAAAGCAGCUGCAACAUGGAAAAAGGGCCAGAGGCACGUAAGAGAGGAUGUGGGAAGACCACUUAGGAGGCCGUUGUGGUCCAGGGAAGAAGGACAGUGGUUUGGAUUCAGAUGGGGCAGUGACGAUGCAAAGUGCUGCACACAGUCCAAAGCGACUGAGGCAAUAAGAUGGGGCGAGAUGUGCUCAUCUGGCCACAGAGGCCCAGGGGGAGAGGUGUGUCAAAGGCCUCCAAGUUUCUGAGGGGCACAGCUGGCUGGUGCCUCUCACUGGGCGCUGGCCAGGGCUGCCGCCAGACGGGACAGGACGUUUCCUGUUAACUGAAGUUUUCCAUCAAGCCUGCUGCUCGCCUCUGCUUUGGAAGAGUGGGACCCAGAGCAACGGUACAGCUCAGGAGCUGCGGGGACCUUGGGCACCCGCCACGUCCCCGUGUCAUUACCCGAGACAAGGGUGGCGGGGGCCACACUGCAGUUCCUCCUCGUCCAGGCUGAUCUGCACGACCACCUCCCCGGAAGCAGAGCCUGCAAACACCGGGCGGGACUGAGAACCAGGAACUGCUGUGUCCACCAAACCUUCACUCCAGCCUCGUCCUUCCUGAGCCAUCAGCAGCUCUAGGUGACGUUCACUCCCUCCAGCUUCAGACAUUUUCUUCGCCCCCUCGUCUGCUGCUCUCCCUCCAGCCCCACUGGACGCUCCAUCCAGGUCUCUGUGGAGCCCAUCCAUCAGCAAAUCCUGGUAACUGUGCCUUCAAAGCACAUCCUGAACUGGACCACCUGUCAGCGCCUUUGCCACUGCCGCCCUGGUCCACCUCCUGGAUUUCUGCAGGAGCCUCCUAACUGCCUCCGUGCCUCCACCUCUAGCCCCUUCAGUCUGUUCUCAACACAGCAGCCAGACGGCCCUUUGAAAAUAUAAGAGCCUGUCGCUUCCGUGUUGAACAUCCUCCAAUGCCUUCCCCUCUUUCUUGGGGUAAAAGUUUAAGUCGUAACGAUGGCUCGUAAAACCCUUGGUGAUCAGUCCCUCUGCUAAUCUGACCUCACCUCCUACCUCUGUUCCCCUUGUUCACUCUGCAUCAGCCACAUGGGCCUCACUGAUGCUCCUCAAACAUGCAGAGGGGUCCCGCCUCCGGGCCACCGCACUUGCCAUUCCUUUUUCCUAGAACACUCUUCUCCCAGAUAUCGUCAGGGCUCACCCCUCGCUUUGUUCAGAUCUCCGCUCAAAUACUCCCUGAUCAGAGACAGGGAGCCCACCUCCCCGCCCUGCGCUGCUGGCUGCACAGCAUGUAACCACCUCGCAUGUGACUGCUUAGCGUCUGUCUCUCCCUCUAGAAAGCGCACGCAGCAAGGGCAGUAGCUUAUUGUUCACAGUCUAUUUUUCGGCACAUAUAAGCAAGGCUGAGGUGCAAACAGGCACAUAACCAGUCACUUGAUAAAAACCUGUGGAAGGAAAGAGCAAAGAGUAGCUGAGAGGACGACUGCUGGGCCAUGAGGAGGAAAACCAAGCCAGCUGGGAGAGGAGUGAGUGAGGGCACCAAAGAGCAGAAGCGACCAGACCGAGAGCUGCUCAAGACACGAGAAGCCACAGUCCCAACCUUCGUGAGGCCCGGGUGCCAGUGAGGUUUGCAAGGCACCCAGGUCACAAUCAUCCCCUGCCCCUUUCCUGAUGACAUGUGGCGGGGGGCGGGUUGUUCCUUGCGACCGAAACAGCCUUGACUUCCAACCAGCCACCCAGCCACCCAUCCACCUCUACUACUAGCCUCCCAAUCAUCCAGACAUCUCAUAAUUCAUCUACAAAUCAAACAGUCCAUGGGCCCCUCCAUCCCUACAAGCAUCCGUCAGCCUAACGUCCACGAAUCCACCCGUCAGUACAUAACCAACGAUCCCUUCAUACAUCAGCCUUUCAAAACACACAUGGUAGAGCAGGGCCAGGUUAUGAAAGGGACUUGGGCACCAGGCUGAGGCAAUCCAACUUUACUGCUAAAUAGGGGGGAGCUAUGGAAGCAGAAAGCUAUGGAGAUUUUGAGCGGAAAAGUUAUAUAAUCAGGUCUGUAUUUUAGAAAAAUAAUGCUGGCAGCAGUGAACAAGAUGGACCAGAGGGGGUAGUCUUAAGGCAGGAAGAUCAGCUGGGGUAAUGCUGCAAUAUUCUGGAUGAUGAAAUAGGGCAAAGGCAUAGCCGCUAGAGAAAGGAAGAGUCAAGCUGCAGAUGGGGAACGGCCCUGCAAGCAGGCCUGCCCAGAUGGGGGACCAUCUAAGAGGCCUUGGUUGGGCACCCACCAGAGGGACCCAGGCACCGUGCUUGCCCCCACCCUCAAGUGGGGCUGUGCCUCCCGCACAUUUGGCCCAAGACAUCCAGGAGAGGUACUUCCCAGGAUCCCAACCCAGAAGUGGUCCUUUCUGGGCCCAUCUGCAGAACCCUCUGCCCUACAGCUCAAGCCGCUGACAUUUGAGUACACAGUCACCCACCAGCUCUAGUCUCACACUUCAGCCCUGGUUGUGGAAAGCUGGGGCCUCUUCUCUGUUAAUUUUCUCCAACUCCUCCGAGGCUGGGCCUCAGGCCCAAUGAAGUCACAGUCUGGGAGGCAGCCCUGGCUCCCUGCCGGCCCACGGAGGCUAUAUUUGGAGCAAGACAACUCCCUGCAGACACAGACUCGGGGCCCACCCUGCAGCACUGCCCCAACCGAUUUUACCGAGUUUACAGGAGUUUCCAAGCAGUGUGGGCGUCACUCAUAUCUUCACGUGUUUGUUCAUUUACUCAUUUGUUCACUCAUUUAUCCAUUCCACAAAUAUUUAUUGAUCCCCUGGCACGAUGCAGCAGGAUGCAUGGCGGCACGUACACGCAUACAUAUGGGUACCUGCGUCUAAACAGGGAAGGCAGAACAUACUCUCGGUGCCCUCCCUCAGGGUUCAACAGCUCUGGUGACUCAGAAUCAGGUGCAUGCGCGUCAUUCACCUGUGUGCAUGUGCGCAGGCACGUGCUCUCUGCUCUCGGAGAGGCG
This is a long non-coding RNA of Aethalodelphis obliquidens (Pacific white-sided dolphin), 3368 nucleotides long. RefSeq lists it as uncharacterized. The transcript is spliced from 3 exons. NCBI's taxonomy places the organism in Eukaryota, Metazoa, Chordata, Mammalia, Artiodactyla, Delphinidae. The record is from RefSeq and is a predicted model, not a curated record.